AUGAUGCCAUCACUUAAGGUAGAUUUGAAAAACUAUUUGCUUGGACAUGAUCAUACACACCCUGUUAGUGGCAUUGCUCAUAUCUCUGUUCAUGAUACUUAUGUUCCUGAUGCUAUACCCAUGCUUAAUGAAACGUGUGAUUCUAAUACUAGCAUUGAGCUUACUGAUUUGUACCAUCCUAAACAUGUGCUUUAUAGCUAUGCUUAUGUAAUUGGAUAUUCGAUUGAUGACUUGGAGGGUAUUAUCCCUACCACUUGCAUUAUCUCUUUCGUUGAGUGCUCUUUCAGGUUCUUGCUUGUGCACGAUCCACUACAUGCUGACCAAGUUCAAGAUGACAUUCCCUGGGACCCCGGUGGACCUAUGGCAUGGGGAUGA
RNAcentral lists this ribosomal RNA (375 nucleotides) under Triticum aestivum (bread wheat). RNAcentral describes it as "partial small subunit ribosomal RNA". Lineage: Eukaryota; Viridiplantae; Streptophyta; Magnoliopsida; Poales; Poaceae. The record is from RNAcentral.